AACAGGAUUAGAUACCCUGGUAGUCCACGCCGUAAACGAUGUCAACUAGCCGUUGGGAUCCUUGAGAUCUUAGUGGCGCAGCUAACGCAUUAAGUUGACCGCCUGGGGAGUACGGCCGCAAGGUUAAAACUCAAAUGAAUUGACGGGGGCCCGCACAAGCGGUGGAGCAUGUGGUUUAAUUCGAUGCAACGCGAAGAACCUUACCUACUCUUGACAUCCAGAGAAUUUAGCAGAGAUGCUUUAGUGCCUUCGGGAACUCUGAGACAGGUGCUGCAUGGCUGUCGUCAGCUCGUGUUGUGAAAUGUUGGGUUAAGUCCCGCAACGAGCGCAACCCUUAUCCUUUGUUGCCAGCACGUAAUGGUGGGAACUCAAAGGAGACUGCCGGUGAUAAACCGGAGGAAGGUGGGGAUGACGUCAAGUCAUCAUGGCCCUUACGGCCAGGGCCACACACGUGCUACAAUGGUCGGUACAAAGGGUUGCCAAGCCGCGAGGUGGAGCUAAUCCCAUAAAACCGAUCGUAGUCCGGAUCGCAGUCUGCAACUCGACUGCGUGAAGUCGGAAUCGCUAGUAAUCGUGAAUCAGAACGUCACGGUGAAUACGUUCCCGGGCCUUGUACACACCGCCCGUCACACCAUGGGAGUGGGUUGCUCCAGAAGUAGCUAGUCUAACCUUCGGGGGGACGGUUACCACGGAGUGAUUCAUGACUGGGGUGAAGUCGUAACAAGGUAGCCGUAGGGGAACCUGCGGCUGGAUCACCUCCUU
Molecule: ribosomal RNA, 762 nt
Filed under: uncultured bacterium
Lineage: Bacteria
Description: bacterial SSU rRNA
Rfam family: Bacterial small subunit ribosomal RNA
Source: RNAcentral